CAGGCUUAACACAUGCAAGUCGAGGGGCAGCAUUUUAGUUUGCUUGCAAACUGAAGAUGGCGACCGGCGCACGGGUGAGUAACACGUAUCCAACCUGCCGAUAACUCCGGAAUAGCCUUUCGAAAGAAAGAUUAAUACCGGAUAGCAUACGAAUAUCGCAUGAUAUUUUUAUUAAAGAAUUUCGGUUAUCGAUGGGGAUGCGUUCCAUUAGUUUGUUGGCGGGGUAACGGCCCACCAAGACAACGAUGGAUAGGGGUUCUGAGAGGAAGGUCCCCCACAUUGGAACUGAGACACGGUCCAAACUCCUACGGGAGGCAGCAGUGAGGAAUAUUGGUCAAUGGGCGAGAGCCUGAACCAGCCAAGUAGCGUGAAGGAUGAAGGCUCUAUGGGUCGUAAACUUCUUUUAUAUGGGAAUAAAGUUUUCCACGUGUGGAAUUUUGUAUGUACCAUAUGAAUAAGGAUCGGCUAACUCCGUGCCAGCAGCCGCGGUAAUACGGAGGAUCCGAGCGUUAUCCGGAUUUAUUGGGUUUAAAGGGAGCGUAGGUGGAUUGUUAAGUCAGUUGUGAAAGUUUGCGGCUCAACCGUAAAAUUGCAGUCGAAACUGGCAGUCUUGAGUACAGUAGAGGUGGGCGGAAUUCGUGGUGUAGCGGUGAAAUGCCUAGAUAUCACGAAGAACUCCGAUUGCGAAGGCAGCUCACUAGACUGUCACUGACACUGAUGCUCGAAAGUGUGGGUAUCAAACAGGAUUAGAUACCCUGGUAGUCCACACAGUAAACGAUGAAUACUCGCUGUUUGCGAUAUACAGUAAGCGGCCAAGCGAAAGCAUUAAGUAUUCCACCUGGGGAGUACGCCGGCAACGGUGAAACUCAAAGGAAUUGACGGGGGCCCGCACAAGCGGAGGAACAUGUGGUUUAAUUCGAUGAUACGCGAGGAACCUUACCCGGGCUUAAAUUGCAACAGAAUAUAUUGGAAACAGUAUAGCCGUAAGGCUGUUGUGAAGGUGCUGCAUGGUUGUCGUCAGCUCGUGCCGUGAGGUGUCGGCUUAAGUGCCAUAACGAGCGCAACCCUUAUCUUUAGUUACUAACAGGUUAUGCUGAGGACUCUAGAGAGACUGCCGUCGUAAGAUGUGAGGAAGGUGGGGAUGACGUCAAAUCAGCACGGCCCUUACGUCCGGGGCUACACACGUGUUACAAUGGGGGGUACAGAAGGCGGCUACCUGGUGACAGGAUGCUAAUCCCAAAAACCUCUCUCAGUUCGGAUCGAAGUCUGCAACCCGACUUCGUGAAGCUGGAUUCGCUAGUAAUCGCGCAUCAGCCAUGGCGCGGUGAAUACGUUCCCGGGCCUUGUACACACCGCCCGUCAAGCCAUGAAAGCCGGGGGUACCUGAAGUACGUAACCGCAAGGAGCGUCCUAGGGUAAAACUGGUAAUUGGGGCUAAGUCAUAACA
This 1447-nucleotide ribosomal RNA is filed under the name uncultured organism. Its description in RNAcentral is "16S ribosomal RNA". It matches the Rfam family "Bacterial small subunit ribosomal RNA". The record is from RNAcentral.